AGUGAUGCCAGAGCUGGGGCUGGAUUGUAAUAAAGAGAAAAACCGGUGGAGUGAGUUACGCAUCAACAUUAAUUUCUUUUAGAAUUUACACAUCUACACAGACACUGUUGGUAUCAUAAACAUUUAGCUCUAAAGAAGCUACGGAGCAAACAUGUCGAUCUUACCUAUUGAAGUCAAAUAUGUAAGGGGUAUGAGUGAUGAGAUGCAGCAGGACGCUCUACAGUGCGUCAUUAUGGCUCAGAGCAUGUGCACAGAAAACAAUGACACUGCAGCAUAUAUUGCGAAGGAAUUUAACGAAAAGCAUAAACCUACCUGGAGCUGCAUUGUGGGAAACUUCGGUUGCUCCCUUUUACCGACGACUCAUCAUGUCUGCUUCACUGUUGGCGAGAAAUUAUAUUUUCUCUUCAAGGCUGCAUGAAUGUCAGAUUUACACAAACUAAAUCUGAAUGAUAAUAUGAACAAUUGAACAAUUAUAUAUACAGUUGAAAUAAACAUUAUUUGCCCUCCUGUGAAAUUGUUAUUCUUUUUCAAAUAUUUGCCAUGUGUUAUUUUACGGAGCAAGGAGAUUUACACAGUAUGUCUUAUAAUAUUUUUUUUUCUUCUGGAGAAA
Non-coding RNA from Danio rerio (zebrafish), 610 nucleotides. The record is from RefSeq and is a predicted model, not a curated record. NCBI's taxonomy places the organism in Eukaryota, Metazoa, Chordata, Actinopteri, Cypriniformes, Danionidae.